UACGUAGGGUGCUAGCGUUAUCCGGAUUUACUGGGCGUAAAGGGCGCGUAGGUGGUCUUUCACGUCGGUGGUUAAAGCCUGCGGCUCAACCGUAUUAAGCCGCCGAAAGUGGAAGACUCGAGUGCAGGAGAGGAAAGUGGAAUUCUCAGUGUAGCGGUGAAAUGCGUAGAUAUUGAGAAGAACACCAGUAGCGAAGGCGGGUUUCUGGACUGUAACUGACGCUGAGGUGCGAAAGCGUGGGUAGCAAACAGG
Molecule: ribosomal RNA, 252 nt
Filed under: uncultured bacterium
Lineage: Bacteria
Description: partial 16S ribosomal RNA
Rfam family: Bacterial small subunit ribosomal RNA
Source: RNAcentral